GACGAACGCUGGCGGCGUGCUUAACACAUGCAAGUCGAACGGAAAGGCCCUGCUUUUGUGGGGUGCUCGAGUGGCGAACGGGUGAGUAACACGUGAGUAACCUGCCCUUGACUUUGGGAUAACUUCAGGAAACUGGGGCUAAUACCGGAUAGGAGCUCCUGCUGCAUGGUGGGGGUUGGAAAGUUUCGGCGGUUGGGGAUGGACUCGCGGCUUAUCAGCUUGUUGGUGGGGUAGUGGCUUACCAAGGCUUUGACGGGUAGCCGGCCUGAGAGGGUGACCGGCCACAUUGGAGCGGGGAACGGGCCAAGACCCCACGGGGGGGCAGGGGGGGGGAAUAUUGCCAAAGGGGCGGAAGCCGGAGGGAGCACCCCCGGGGGGGGGAUGAGGGCCUUGGGGUUGUAAACCGCUUUCGCCUGGGACGAAGCGGGGGUGAGGGUAAUGGGAAAAAAAGCACCGGCAAACUAGGU
Molecule: ribosomal RNA, 467 nt
Filed under: uncultured bacterium
Lineage: Bacteria
Description: partial 16S ribosomal RNA
Rfam family: Bacterial small subunit ribosomal RNA
Source: RNAcentral